CAAGACUGGGGCUAGUCAGGCAGACUCUUUGAUUUGAAUUUAUUAAUAGAUAGAUGAUUUUGAUAGUCUUAACAAACAGUAAUUAGUGUGGCUCAGAAAGUCUUUUAAUUUUGAAAGCCUAAAAAUAUAUAUAUAUACAAGCCUGAACAAACCAGAUAGAUCUGUGUUUUUGCCAUCCAGAGUCAGCCAUUAUUAAGAGUUUGUCAUAUUUGUUUCUUGUACUUCCAUAAAUGAAAGAGAGACAGCAUUAAAGAUCAAGUUGAAGCUUUCUAUUUCUCAUCCCUUGUUCCUUUUUCUUCUCUUACCCAAAGGUGACCACUGUAAUUAAUUUUGUGGGUGUAUCAGUCGGGAUCCUGGUGGGGAGAAGAUGUCACACUUGAGAUGAAUAAUUUGAAGGAGUGUUCAUCAAAAAUGCCAUUUACACAGGUUUCUUUUCAUAUUUUGGAGUCAAUAAAUCUUUCAUCAGGUCUCAAACAUUUAAAAGGCCCUUGCAAAACUGGUAGACCGUGCACCCCAUACCUGUUGGAAUUUACUUUCUAGCUGGAGGUAGAAUAAUGAGGCCAGGACUCCUGUCAUUUGUCCGUGGUGGAUCAGCUAUGUCUGUCUUUCAUGAUCUCUUUACUCUAGGGCCAGGCUGACUGAGCAGCUCCUAUCUGGGACAUUAUUGAUGCCUGGGUAAAGAGAUUAUCGUGAAGCAAAUACUGGCUGUUAAGGCUUCGGCUUGAAGUCAUGGGCUAAUCCUGACUGACAUCAAAGGAGUGGAACGUAGAAUCUUCUCUGGAGGAAUGGGUUCCCUGCAGGGAGGGGCAGCAAGUAUUUUGAAUAAAAGUACAAUCCAACAUCGUAAUGCAUAUAAAAGCACUUACUGAACAGUAGAACUCCAUGUGAAUGCAAGUUCUUCUUCAUCUGCCCAAAGUCUACCAGCCAAUCAGUGUUGAACCUGAGACUACAACUCCAGGUGGCUCUAAACCCAGCCCAGUGUUUUCUCCUUCUCUGUAGUGAUUCACUGACACCUUUCCUUCCACAUUUUAAUGCUCAAUAAAACAUUAAUUUUAGAAUUACCAAUCAACAUAUUCCCUUUGCCAGAUAUAGGAACAAAUUUUUCUAAGAAUAAACCUCUCUUGCUGUCUCUCUCCUUCCUUUCACUCUCUCUAUAUAUUUGAUAAGAAUUGUUUUAAAGAGUCUGCAGCUUUCAGUUUGAUUGAUAGUUUUAUACUACACGCUAGAAAGCCUUGUCACGUGUGUCUUAAAUCAGCCAUUUCAACCUUAGGUGUUUUAUUUGUGGAGAGAAGACUUCCAUCAUGAACAUUUUUUUUUUUCUGACAGAAUAUGUCCUUAAAAAUAUGUAAAUUCCAUUACUAGCUUUAUUGCUCUCCCAUAAUUUCCUUAUUUGCCUCUGAAUUAUGCUUAGAAAGGCAAGAUGGAUAAUAUAAGCUUUCCAAUGUUUUAUGAAAGAUUUAGAUGCAGACUCUUUGUAAACCACUACUCCCAAGCUCUUCUCUUUCCACUAAUACAGGCAUUAGAGCCCAGGAAACUCACUUGCUGUAGAA
Callithrix jacchus (white-tufted-ear marmoset) is the source of this 1550-nucleotide long non-coding RNA. NCBI's taxonomy places the organism in Eukaryota, Metazoa, Chordata, Mammalia, Primates, Cebidae. The record is from Ensembl.